AGAGUUUGAUCCUGGCUCAGAUUGAACGCUGGCGGCAUGCCUAACACAUGCAAGUCGAACGGUAACAGGCCCUUCGGGGUGCUGACGAGUGGCGAACGGGUGAGUAAUACGUAGGAAUCUGCCCAGUAGUGGGGGAUAACCCGGGGAAACUCGGGCUAAUACCGCAUACGCUCUACGGANGGAAAGCGGGGGACCGAAAGGCCUCGCGCUAUUGGAUGAGCCUACGUCGGAUUAGCUAGUUGGUGAGGUAAUGGCUCACCAAGGCGACGAUCCGUAGCUGGUCUGAGAGGACGAUCAGCCACACUGGGACUGAGACACGGCCCAGACUCCUACGGGAGGCAGCGGUGGGGAAUAUUGGACAAUGGGCGAAAGCCUGAUCCAGCAAUGCCGCGUGUGUGAAGAAGGCCUGCGGGUUGUAAAGCACUUUCAGUGGGGAAGAAAAGCU
Molecule: ribosomal RNA, 445 nt
Filed under: uncultured bacterium
Lineage: Bacteria
Description: bacterial SSU rRNA
Rfam family: Bacterial small subunit ribosomal RNA
Source: RNAcentral